GAUGAACGCUAGCGGCAGGCCUAAUACAUGCAAGUCGAACGGUAAAUAUUUUAGCAAUAAGAUAUGAGAGUGACGUACGGGUGCGUAACACGUAUGCAACCUACCUUGUACAGGAGUAUAGCUCGGGGAAACUCGAAUUAAUCCUUCAUAGUAUGAUUGGAUGGCAUCAUUUGAUCAUUAAAUCUUCGGAGGUACAAGAUGGGCAUGCGUCUGAUUAGUUAGUUGGCGGGGUAACGGCCCACCAAGACGAUGAUCAGUAGGGGAACUGAGAGGUUGAUCCCCCACACUGGCACUGAGAUACGGGCCAGACCCCUACGGGAGGCAGCAGUAGGGAAUAUUGGUCAAUGGAUGGAAGUCUGAACCAGCCAUGCCGCGUGCAGGAAGAAGGCCUUCUGGGUUGUAAACUGCUUUUUGCCAGGGGAUAAAAAUGCUCGUGCGCGAGUUAUUGAAGGUACCUGGUGAAUAAGCCACGGCUAACUACGUGCCAGCAGCCGCGGUAAUACGUAGGUGGCAAGCGUUGUCCGGAUUUAUUGGGUUUAAAAGGGUGCGUAGGCGGUCUAUUAAGUCAGUGGUGAAAUAUCGCAGCUUAACUGUGAGGGUGCCAUUGAUACUGAUGGACUUGAGUGAAGUCGAAGUAGGCGGAAUUGACGGUGUAGCGGUGAAAUGCUUAGAUAUCGUCAAGAACACCGAUAGUGAAGACAGCUUACUAGGCUUAUACUGACGCUGAGGCAGAAAGUGUGGGGAAUCAAACAGGAUUAGAUA
This 762-nucleotide ribosomal RNA is filed under the name uncultured bacterium. RNAcentral describes it as "bacterial SSU rRNA". It matches the Rfam family "Bacterial small subunit ribosomal RNA", at positions 28 to 784 of the family's 1533-position model. The record is from RNAcentral.